AUUGAACGCUGGCGGCAUGCCUUACACAUGCAAGUCGAACGGCAGCACGGAGCUUGCUCUGGUGGCGAGUGGCGAACGGGUGAGUAAUAUAUCGGAACGUACCCUAGAGUGGGGGAUAACGUAGCGAAAGUUACGCUAAUACCGCAUACGAUCUAAGGAUGAAAGUGGGGGAUCGCAAGACCUCAUGCUCGUGGAGCGGCCGAUAUCUGAUUAGCUAGUUGGUAGGGUAAAAGCCUACCAAGGCAUCGAUCAGUAGCUGGUCUGAGAGGGCGACCAGCCACACUGGAACUGAGACACGGUCCAGACUCCUACGGGAGGCAGCAGUGGGGAAUUUUGGACAAUGGGCGAAAGCCUGAUCCAGCAAUGCCGCGUGAGUGAAGAAGGCCUUCGGGUUGUAAAGCUCUUUUGUCAGGGAAGAAACGGUGAAAGCUAAUAUCUUUUGCUAAUGACGGUACCUGAAGAAUAAGCACCGGCUAACUACGUGCCAGCAGCCGCGGUAAUACGUAGGGUGCAAGCGUUAAUCGGAAUUACUGGGCGUAAAGCGUGCGCAGGCGGUUUUGUAAGUCUGAUGUGAAAUCCCCGGGCUCAACCUGGGAAUUGCAUUGGAGACUGCAAGGCUAGAAUCUGGCAGAGGGGGGUAGAAUUCCACGUGUAGCAGUGAAAUGCGUAGAUAUGUGGAGGAACACCGAUGGCGAAGGCAGCCCCCUGGGUCAAGAUUGACGCCCAUGCACGAAAGCGUGGGGAGCAAACAGGAUUAGAUACCCUGGUAGUCCACGCCCUAAACGAUGUCUACUAGUUGUCGGGUCUUAAUUGACUUGGUAACGCAGCUAACGCGUGAGGUAGACCGCCUGGGGAGUACGGUCGCAAGAUUAAAACUCAAAGGAAUUGACGGGGACCCGCACAAGCGGUGGAUGAUGUGGAUUAAUUCGAUGCAACGCGAAAAACCUUACCUACCCUUGACAUGGCUGGAAUCCUUGAGAGAUCAGGGAGUGCUCGAAAGAGAACCAGUACACAGGUGCUGCAUGGCUGUCGUCAGCUCGUGUCGUGAGAUGUUGGGUUAAGUCCCGCAACGAGCGCAACCCUUGUCAUUAGUUGCUACGAAAGGGCACUCUAAUGAGACUGCCGGUGACAAACCGGAGGAAGGUGGGGAUGACGUCAAGUCCUCAUGGCCCUUAUGGGUAGGGCUUCACACGUCAUACAAUGGUACAUACAGAGCGCCGCCAACCCGCGAGGGGGAGCUAAUCGCAGAAAGUGUAUCGUAGUCCGGAUUGUAGUCUGCAACUCGACUGCAUGAAGUUGGAAUCGCUAGUAAUCGCGGAUCAGCAUGUCGCGGUGAAUACGUUCCCGGGUCU
This 1352-nucleotide ribosomal RNA is filed under the name uncultured bacterium. Its description in RNAcentral is "bacterial SSU rRNA". It matches the Rfam family "Bacterial small subunit ribosomal RNA", at positions 28 to 1381 of the family's 1533-position model. The record is from RNAcentral.